AGGAAUCUACCCAGUAGUGGGGAAUAACUUCGGGAAACCGGAGCUAAUACCGCAUACGCCCUGAGGGGAAAGCGGGGGAUCUUCGGACCUCGCGCUAUUGGAUGAGCCUACGUCCGAUUAGCUAGUUGGUAGGGUAAAAGCCUACCAAGGCGACGAUCGGUAGCUGGUCUGAGAGGACGAUCAGCCACACUGGGACUGAGACACGGCCCAGACUCCUACGGGAGGCAGCAGUGGGGAAUAUUGGACAAUGGGCGAAAGUGAUCCAGCCAUGCCGUGUGUGUGACGAAGGCCUUCGGGUUGUAAAGCACUUUCAGUGGGGAAGAAGGUGAAGAGGUUAAUAGCCUUUUUAUUUGACAUUACCCACAGAAGAAGCACCGGCUAACUCCGUGCCAGCAGCCGCGGUAAUACGGAGGGUGCGAGCGUUAAUCGGAAUUACUGGGCGUAAAGCGCACGUAGGCGGUUCAUUAAGUUGGAUGUGAAAGCCCUGGGCUCAACCUGGGAAUUGCAUCCAAAACUGGCGAACUAGAGUAUAGUAGAGGGGGGUAGAAUUCACGGUGUAGCGGUGAAAUGCGUAGAUAUCGUGAGGAAUACCGAUGGCGAAGGAGCCCCCUGGACUAAUACUGACGCUGAGGUGCGAAAGGUGGGGAGCGAACAGGAUUAGAUACCCUGGUAGUCCACGCCGUAAACGAUGAGAACUAGCUGUUGGGACGAUUGAGUCUUGGUGGCAAAGCUAACGCAUUAAGUUCUCCGCCUGGGGAGUACGGCCGCAAGUUAAAACUCAAAUGAAUUGACGGGGGCCCGCACAAGCGUGGAGCAUGUGGUUUAAUUCGAUGCAAC
This 837-nucleotide ribosomal RNA is filed under the name uncultured bacterium. Its description in RNAcentral is "bacterial SSU rRNA". It matches the Rfam family "Bacterial small subunit ribosomal RNA", at positions 119 to 960 of the family's 1533-position model. The record is from RNAcentral.